This 1358-nucleotide ribosomal RNA is filed under the name Lactiplantibacillus plantarum. Its description in RNAcentral is "bacterial SSU rRNA". It matches the Rfam family "Bacterial small subunit ribosomal RNA", at positions 66 to 1412 of the family's 1533-position model. Lineage: Bacteria; Bacillati; Bacillota; Bacilli; Lactobacillales; Lactobacillaceae. The record is from RNAcentral.
GCUUGCAUCAUGAUUUACAUUUGAGUGAGUGGCGAACUGGUGAGUAACACGUGGGAAACCUGCCCAGAAGCGGGGGAUAACACCUGGAAACAGAUGCUAAUACCGCAUAACAACUUGGACCGCAUGGUCCGAGUUUGAAAGAUGGCUUCGGCUAUCACUUUUGGAUGGUCCCGCGGCGUAUUAGCUAGAUGGUGAGGUAACGGCUCACCAUGGCAAUGAUACGUAGCCGACCUGAGAGGGUAAUCGGCCACAUUGGGACUGAGACACGGCCCAAACUCCUACGGGAGGCAGCAGUAGGGAAUCUUCCACAAUGGACGAAAGUCUGAUGGAGCAACGCCGCGUGAGUGAAGAAGGGUUUCGGCUCGUAAAACUCUGUUGUUAAAGAAGAACAUAUCUGAGAGUAACUGUUCAGGUAUUGACGGUAUUUAACCAGAAAGCCACGGCUAACUACGUGCCAGCAGCCGCGGUAAUACGUAGGUGGCAAGCGUUGUCCGGAUUUAUUGGGCGUAAAGCGAGCGCAGGCGGUUUUUUAAGUCUGAUGUGAAAGCCUUCGGCUCAACCGAAGAAGUGCAUCGGAAACUGGGAAACUUGAGUGCAGAAGAGGACAGUGGAACUCCAUGUGUAGCGGUGAAAUGCGUAGAUAUAUGGAAGAACACCAGUGGCGAAGGCGGCUGUCUGGUCUGUAACUGACGCUGAGGCUCGAAAGUAUGGGUAGCAAACAGGAUUAGAUACCCUGGUAGUCCAUACCGUAAACGAUGAAUGCUAAGUGUUGGAGGGUUUCCGCCCUUCAGUGCUGCAGCUAACGCAUUAAGCAUUCCGCCUGGGGAGUACGGCCGCAAGGCUGAAACUCAAAGGAAUUGACGGGGGCCCGCACAAGCGGUGGAGCAUGUGGUUUAAUUCGAAGCUACGCGAAGAACCUUACCAGGUCUUGACAUACUAUGCAAAUCUAAGAGAUUAGACGUUCCCUUCGGGGACAUGGAUACAGGUGGUGCAUGGUUGUCGUCAGCUCGUGUCGUGAGAUGUUGGGUUAAGUCCCGCAACGAGCGCAACCCUUAUUAUCAGUUGCCAGCAUUAAGUUGGGCACUCUGGUGAGACUGCCGGUGACAAACCGGAGGAAGGUGGGGAUGACGUCAAAUCAUCAUGCCCCUUAUGACCUGGGCUACACACGUGCUACAAUGGAUGGUACAACGAGUUGCGAACUCGCGAGAGUAAGCUAAUCUCUUAAAGCCAUUCUCAGUUCGGAUUGUAGGCUGCAACUCGCCUACAUGAAGUCGGAAUCGCUAGUAAUCGCGGAUCAGCAUGCCGCGGUGAAUACGUUCCCGGGCCUUGUACACACCGCCCGUCACACCAUGAGAGUU